CCCUGAUCCAGCCAUGCCGCGUGUGUGAAGAAGGCCCUCGGGUUGUAAAGCACUUUCAGCGAGGAAGAACGCCUGUCGGUUAAUACCCGGUAGGAAAGACAUCACUCGCAGAAGUAAGCACCGGCUAACUCCGUGCCAGCAGCCGCGGUAAUA
RNAcentral lists this ribosomal RNA (153 nucleotides) under uncultured Halomonas sp. RNAcentral's name for it is "partial 16S ribosomal RNA". It matches the Rfam family "Bacterial small subunit ribosomal RNA", at positions 381 to 525 of the family's 1533-position model. Lineage: Bacteria; Pseudomonadati; Pseudomonadota; Gammaproteobacteria; Oceanospirillales; Halomonadaceae. The record is from RNAcentral.